GAUGAACGCUGGCGGCGUGCCUAAUACAUGCAAGUCGAGCGAACAGACGAGGAGCUUGCUCCUCUGACGUUAGCGGCGGACGGGUGAGUAACACGUGGAUAACCUACCUAUAAGACUGGGAUAACUUCGGGAAACCGGAGCUAAUACCGGAUAAUAUAUUGAACCGCAUGGUUCAAUAGUGAAAGACGGUUUUGCUGUCACUUAUAGAUGGAUCCGCGCCGCAUUAGCUAGUUUGUAAGGUAACGGCUUACCAAGGCAACGAUGCGUAGCCGACCUGAGAGGGUGAACGGCCACACUGGAACUGAGAAAAGGUCCAGACUCCUACGGGAGGCAGCAGUAGGGAAUCUUCCGCAAUGGGCGAAAGCUUGACGGAGCAACGCCGCGUGAGUGAUGAAGGUCUUCGGAUCGUAAAACUCUGUUAUUAGGGAAGAACAAAUGUGUAAGUAACUAUGCACGUCUUGACGGUACCUAAUCAGAAAGCCACGGCUAACUACGUG
This 497-nucleotide ribosomal RNA is filed under the name uncultured bacterium. Its description in RNAcentral is "partial 16S ribosomal RNA". It matches the Rfam family "Bacterial small subunit ribosomal RNA", at positions 28 to 507 of the family's 1533-position model. The record is from RNAcentral.